AUUUCAUUAUUCUGAUGUAACAAAAUUAAGUACUUCAUUUGUAAGAAAAUUUUUGUGUAUGAUUUGGAUUCUUGUGCUUUUAUCUAUGCACCUCUUUUGUAAUAUAUAUUUCUAUAUUAAAUUUAAAAGCAAAUAAUAAAAUUUCAAUGAGAGUAAAUAAGAAGCGGGAAAUAUUGAGGACAAGGUAUAUGGAAAAUCAUU
RNAcentral lists this long non-coding RNA (201 nucleotides) under Elaeis guineensis (African oil palm). Its description in RNAcentral is "long non-coding RNA (EGUI_LNC032794)". Lineage: Eukaryota; Viridiplantae; Streptophyta; Magnoliopsida; Arecales; Arecaceae. The record is from RNAcentral.